RNAcentral lists this ribosomal RNA (1150 nucleotides) under human oral metagenome. RNAcentral's name for it is "bacterial LSU rRNA". It matches the Rfam family "Bacterial large subunit ribosomal RNA", at positions 1379 to 2545 of the family's 2925-position model. The record is from RNAcentral.
GUAAGUCGGGACCUAAGGCCAGGCCGAAAGGCGUAGUCGAUGGAUAGCAGGUUGAUAUUCCUGCACCCGCGAGUAAAGUGAUGGAGUGACAGAUAGGGUUAACCAGAGUCCUAAAUGGAUUGGGCAAGGCAAGCAGGAGAGUGGCGUAGGCAAAUCCGCGUCGGAUACUCAAAGGCUUGACUCAAGCGAACGCGCGAGCAAGUAGUGAAGAAGGUGAUACCAGGUCUCGAGAAAAGCUUCUAGCGAUAAUUUACUAGCGGCCCGUACCAAAACCGACACAGGUGGUUGAGGCGAGUAGCCUAAGGUGAGCGAGAGAACUGUUGCCAAGGAACUCGGCAAAUUGACCCCGUACGUUAGCAAUAAGGGGUGCUCGAAAGAGCCGCAGUGAAUAGGCCCUAGCAACUGUUUAACUAAAACAUAGCUCUCUGCGAAGUCGCAAGACGAAGUAUAGGGGGUGACACCUGCCCGGUGCUGGAAGGUCAAAAGGAAGUGUUCGGAGAAAUCCAAAGCACUGAAUUGAAGCCCCAGUGAACGGCGGCCGUAACUAUAACGGUCCUAAGGUAGCGAAAUUCCUUGUCAGGUAAGUUCUGACCCGCACGAAAGGUGUAAUGAUUUGGGCACUGUCUCGGCAGCAGACUCGGUGAAAUCUUAGUACCUGUGAAGAUGCAGGUUACCCGCAACUAGACGGAAAGACCCCAUGGAGCUUUACUGUAGUCUGCUAUUGAGUUUCGGUUAAGUAUGCACAGGAUAGGUGGGAGACGAUGAGACUGGUCUUUCGGGAUCAGAGGAGUCACUGUUGGGAUACCACUCUUACUUAAUUGAAAUUCUAACUCUAAGCCGUGAUCCGGCUAGAGGACCGUGGCAGAUGGGCAGUUUGACUGGGGCGGUCGCCUCCCAAAGAGUAACGGAGGCGCACAAAGGUACUCUCAGAAUGGUUGGAAAUCAUUCAACGAGCGCAAACGCAGAAGAGUGCUUGACUGCGAGACAAACAAGUCGAGCAGGGACGAAAGUCGGUGUUAGUGAUCCGGCGGUGCAGAAUGGAAUGGCCGUCGCUUAACGGAUAAAAGCUACCCUGGGGAUAACAGGCUGAUCUCGCCCAAGAGUUCACAUCGACGGGGAGGUUUGGCACCUCGAUGUCGGCUCAUCGCAU